Molecule: RNA transcript, 3598 nt
Organism: Paramisgurnus dabryanus
Lineage: Eukaryota; Metazoa; Chordata; Actinopteri; Cypriniformes; Cobitidae
Gene: ccdc177
Gene name: coiled-coil domain containing 177
Source: RefSeq, a predicted model, not a curated record
UCUUAACCUGACAGCAUUUCUUAUAAACAGACAGAUUGGCCCCACAUUUUCUGUACACUUUUCGCCGUGGGCAUUAUACAUUCAUAACAAGGGGACAAAGAGCUGAACGUAUGUGUUAUUUUUAGCGGAGGCGGAGCGCGGAUGCUUGACGGCCUGGAUGCGAGAGUGUCAAACAGCAGGUGGAGACUGACUGACUGCUGGAGGACACCGAACCGACCACAAUAUAAAGCGCGUUUAAUAUGAACGAGAGGAAAUAUCAGUGACCCGAUCAGCUCUGAAUGCGUGGGACGUGAUAUUGCAAACAAUGGUGGACCCACUGGAACCUGACGACCAGAGUAAAUUCAGAGGGCCUCAGAUUGAAACCCCUGCUGCAGCCUCUGAAGCCCCUUGUCUACCUGAGGCAGGUGAUGAUAGAGAGAAUAAUGUUAGUGUGGAUCCCUGCCCACAGACAGAGCUCAAUACCGAACCCGUACUGAGCUCUCAGGAGCCAAGCCAGCCACAAAGCAGUCAACCGGAAGAGCUAAAACUGCAUUUGGACCUUUACAAUUUUGAUUCGCCAGCUGCAGAAGGCAGCCGAUAUGUACUUACAAGCCCUCGCUCACUUGAGGCAUGUGCACGUUGUGGAGUGAAACCGGUAGAGCUUCUGUCACGACCACUGUCUGAUUUUGCCCGUGAGGCUCCAGGCCGCAGCAUGCGUGUUGCCACAGGAAUGUUUGAGAUAUAUGAGAGAGAUAGACAUGCUAAACUUCGUCACUGCAGAGAAGAGAGAGAGCGGAUUGUCAGAGAGGAGAAGAGACGGAUUCUACAGGCUGCUCUCAACAAUAAUAGUAGUCCACUGGCUUCAGAGAAGUCACAGCAAACUGUAAAUGAUGGAUUGUGUCAGGAGAACAAUAACAGUUUAACUAGUUCUAUCCCAGUCCAAAAACAGUCAAUUGCUUCCAUUGGUGUACCCAAAAAGCAAGCAGCAACACCUAAAAGCACAACACAAGGGUCGGGACAGUUGUCCACCUCCAGCUCUCCUUCUGUCUCUAAAGCUAGUCCACUUAACUCUGCUAAUACUGCUAAAGUAACUUCAGCAAAAAAGUCUAAGUCCUUUGAAGCAGAAUCUCAGAAAAAACCUCAAGGACCAAAGCCUUUAGCAAUGCAAAAGUCAUUGCAUUCAGCUUCAGCAGGUCAAGGUCCAAAGAAAGUCUCUAGUACUCCAACAAAAACUGCAAAUACUUUCCCCAGAUCAGUACCUAAACCAUCUUCUUUUCCAAGGACACCAACCUCCCUUGCUCCAAUAGUGUCAAAAUCUGCUAUCCAGAGUCCAGCCAAUAACAUCACUAGUUCAUUUGCACAACACAACGGACACGCUAUUUCCAAAUCAAAGGUUAGAUGCAGAAGCCACUCUUUGGAGUCUUUGCAAAGGAGGCGUGAAGCAUUUUGCUCCUCUACUGCUUCAACAACUAACACCACAACUACCACUUGUACCUCUUCAGAAUCCGCGUCUUCGUCCUAUAGCUGGGAAGGAACAAGAGAUCACUGGGCUAAGACAUCAGGCCCUCGUGCCCGCACUUUAGCUACCUUUAACUCACUGAUGGGUCGCAGUCUGAGCUUGGGAGACCUUAGUCACUCUCCACAGACAACGCAAAAAGUGGAACGCAUUGUAAAGGAGGUAAAACGCAGGGGACUUAAAGCUGUCCCAGAACGUGACCGGAAGAUUGCUGCAUUGAUGCUAGCCAGGUACCAAGAGGAGGACAUAAUGAGCCAGACACGCUACGUAGCACACCUGCAAUGGGACAGUGAACGGCGAAUAGAGGAGCUGCGUCGAGAACGUGAAGAACGGGAAAAACAGAGAGCUGUGCAGCAGUGUCAGCGUGCAUGGCAGUCACAAGUUUCUACCCGGCAGCGCUGGCUUAACCAGCAGGAGCGAGUGGCUGCAGAAGCGAAACUUCGUCAAGUGGUGGAAAGUGAGGAACGUUGGCGUGAGCUGGCCGAGCAACAAGAGCGCAGCAGACUGCAGAAACUGCAACAAGCAGCUCGUGAGGAGAGACACAAGAAAGCGCUACAAGAACAGAACCUUAAAGCUCUGGAGGAAGAGCGAGCAGCCAUACUUGAGCAGGAGAAGCUUCUUCUGAAGGAGAAACUGACCAUUGCUGAGCUGAAGCGGCAGGAGCGGGAGCACCAAAGUCAAGAGGAGCGGCGCGGACUCAACCGCGCUGAGAAGAGGCGGCAUGCAGCUCUCAUCCAAGAGAUUGCGCGACGUGAAGUGGACGAACGGGAAGAAGCAAGGAGGUCGGCAGAAGAGAAGCUGAGUAGGUCUUUGGAGAACUACGAACAGAUACAGGAACGACGUGGGCAAGAGAUAAAGGAGAAGGCUAAGCGAGAAGAGAAGCAGAUCCAGAAGGCACGACGGGCCGCUGAGCUACGUGAACAGCAGCAGAAGGAACACACAGAGGCAAAGGCUCGGGAAGCCGAAAAACGAGCACAGCAAGCAAUACAAAUAGCUGAAGAACGGGCACGGGAGAAGGCCCAGCGUGCAGUGCUGAGCAGGCAGGAAAAGGAACGACUUCAAAGACUUAAUCGUCAGCGUGUAGAGGAGGAGGAGAAACAGCGGCGGUUAGAAUUGCUGCAGUCCAUUGAGCGCAAACUGGAAAAAAGCGAACAGAUUUUCAGAGAAAAGCGUGCAGUGUUGGAAAGCGCCAGAUCGGUGGCUCGUGCCUCUUUCCACGUGCGAGACCGUGUUCGGGAAGAAACUAAUAUGCGCACAUUUGACAAGAUGGCCCUGGAAGCGCAGUUAAAUGCAAGUUUGGUUGAAAAGUGAGCCAUUCAGCUGUGCAUCUUUUGCUUUUUAAAUGCACAUGUGUUUAGAAGUAAGCUGUGCUUGAGCCUACAUACUAGUCUCAUGACUAAACUACAACAAAAUUGAUGGACUUGCCCUUCAAGUGUUGUAACCAACUUCAUAUAUUUAUUUAUUUCCUCAUGAUGCUGCAUCAUUUUUAUCAUGACAUUUAAAGAAAUAUUUUUAUGUAUUUGUACUAUUUAAAAGCUAAUCAAAGAACUUUCUAUAAUGUUUGGAUGGUCAAAUGUUGGAAAUGAUCGUUUUUGCAACUUGGCUGGCUUGUUGCAUUGAGAACUGUAGAUAAAGAGGUCAUUGUUUACAAGCAAGCUUGGCAUUAUGGCAACAGUGAUGGCUUUAUUUCUUAGAGGAAAUAAAGAAGGAAAGGGGACAGAAAUCUUUUAUAAGAGUAAAUUAUUUUAUGGAGACUCUACUUUAAGGGAUUUAGGCUGCAGUAGAGUCAUCAGUGACUUGAACUCUAGUGAAAUGCUGACAAAGCAUUACAGCCUAGAGUAAGGACAUGUCAACAGAUGAUCUCAGCACAGUGUAAUGAAGCUGAUGAAGCACACAAGUAUUUGGUCAGCAACAGAAUCAUCAGUUUUCAUCAGUCAGUCACAAUGACGUCCCCUGCAUUCCUUCAGGAUUGGGAAUGAAGAAGAUGUUGACAUCCGAGGGCUGAUUUAGUUAAAUAAUCCCUCAGAGGCUGCAAGAGACAUUUCACUUUAAUCACAAGCCCUUAUUCCCUUUGUGACAAUGACUCAGCUAAGCAUGACGUAC